AACGCGAAGAACCUUACCUAGACUUGACAUCCCCUGCAUAACCCAGAGAUGGGCGAAGUCCUUCGGGACAGGGUGACAGGUGGUGCAUGGUUGUCGUCAGCUCGUGUCGUGAGAUGUUGGGUUAAGUCCCGCAACGAGCGCAACCCUUAUCAUUAGUUGCUACCAUUUAGUUGAGCACUCUAGUGAGACUGCCCGGGUUAACCGGGAGGAAGGUGGGGAUGACGUCAAAUCAUCAUGCCCCUUAUGUCUAGGGCUACACACGUGCUACAAUGGUGAGUACAAAGAGAUGCAAGAUCGCAAGGUGGAGCCAAACUCAAAAACUCAUCCCAGUUCGGAUUGUAGGCUGCAACUCGCCUACAUGAAGCCGGAGUUGCUAGUAAUCGCGAAUCAGCAUGUCGCGGUGAAUACGUUCCCGGGCCUUGUACACACCGACGCGUA
This 438-nucleotide ribosomal RNA is filed under the name uncultured bacterium. RNAcentral's name for it is "bacterial SSU rRNA". It matches the Rfam family "Bacterial small subunit ribosomal RNA", at positions 958 to 1399 of the family's 1533-position model. The record is from RNAcentral.